This 253-nucleotide long non-coding RNA is filed under the name Elaeis guineensis (African oil palm). RNAcentral describes it as "long non-coding RNA (EGUI_LNC001575)". Lineage: Eukaryota; Viridiplantae; Streptophyta; Magnoliopsida; Arecales; Arecaceae. The record is from RNAcentral.
GGGAGCCUGUCAGGAUUUAAAAUGCAAUACGUAUAUUUGAGUGCAAAUAUCUUAGAUAAUUAAUAUAUAACCUCUUAUAUUUUACAUCGAUUUACAAAUAUCCUUCUACAUGAAAAAAUCAAUCAAUAUCAAUUUUAUAUUUGAUAAAAUAUUGUAAUGCGAUCCACAGACCUCCAAAUUGAGGUCCGUGCUCGCCGUCGGCGCUUAUGUCGCAAUAUAAUUGAGAUUCUGAUCCGACAUGGCAAUCGAACGA